GGAAUUUUCCGCAAUGGGCGCAAGCCUGACGGAGCAACGCCGCGUGAGGGAUGAAGGCCUCUGGGCUGUAAACCUCUUUUAUCAAGGAAGAAGAUCUGACGGUACUUGAUGAAUAAGCCACGGCUAAUUCCGUGCCAGCAGCCGCGGUAAUACGGGAGUGGCAAGCGUUAUCCGGAAUUAUUGGGCGUAAAGCGUCCGCAGGCGGUUUUACAAGUCUGUCGUUAAAACGUGGAGCUCAACUCCAUUUCGGCGAUGGAAACUGUAAGACUAGAGUGUGGUAGGGGCAGAGGGAAUUCCCGGUGUAGCGGUGAAAUGCGUAGAUAUCGGGAAGAACACCAGUGGCGAAGGCGCUCUGCUGGGCCAUAACUGACGCUCAUGGACGAAAGCCAGGGGAGCGAAAGGGAUUAGAUACCCCUGUAGUCCUGGCCGUAAACGAUGAACACUAGGUGUCGGGGGAAUCGACCCCCUCGGUGUCGUAGCCAACGCGUUAAGUGUUCCGCCUGGGGAGUACGCACGCAAGUGUGAAACUCAAAGGAAUUGACGG
This 544-nucleotide ribosomal RNA is filed under the name uncultured bacterium. RNAcentral describes it as "bacterial SSU rRNA". It matches the Rfam family "Bacterial small subunit ribosomal RNA", at positions 358 to 916 of the family's 1533-position model. The record is from RNAcentral.